AGUGAAGUGCCUGAAAAAGGACAAUUUUGAUAGGAUUGCUCAUGCAGGCCACCCCUGUCUUCACUU
This 66-nucleotide transfer RNA is filed under the name Toxeutes macleayi. RNAcentral describes it as "tRNA-Ile". Lineage: Eukaryota; Metazoa; Arthropoda; Insecta; Coleoptera; Cerambycidae. The record is from RNAcentral.